CUUCUGCGGCGGUUCCGCGCUCAGCUUUGAUCGUUCGUCUUAUUUAAAAUUUUUUUAUAAUUAGUAUUUUUAUUAUUAUGAGAUGAUAAAACAUAAAUAGUACUUUACUCGUGACUUAUGUUUUUAAUUUUUUUAAUUUUUUUUAAAUAAGACGAACGGUUAAAGUUGGGCGCGGAAAACCAUGGCUGCACUUAUA
Oryza rufipogon (brownbeard rice) is the source of this 196-nucleotide microRNA precursor. It matches the Rfam family "MIR812 microRNA precursor family". The record is from Rfam. Lineage: Eukaryota; Viridiplantae; Streptophyta; Magnoliopsida; Poales; Poaceae.